AUGUGGAAAAGGACAAGGAUAAGGGCUUUGUUUAGUGCCAUGGUGCCUGUUACAGACCUUGGGGCAUUGGGCUCUCUGUCCAGCUCUCUGUUGGGUAUGAUAAGCUGCAGAAUAGAGGUCACUGGGUCAUAGCUGGCCACUGCUUUGGGGCAGAGACACUAUCUCCAUCCAGUCCCCAGGAGGCUUUUAACGGGGUGCUUCCUCCUGUGAAAUGUCCCCUCAACCAGCAUGCAGCUCACAUUUGCUGUGCCACCUCACAGUGACAGCUCACACAGCCAGAUCUUCACUAUGGCAACAGGCAAAGCUGCUGAUGUGGAUGGCAGAUGGCUGUGGCAGUGGUUGGGGAGCUGGCUGCGUAGAGGAACAGUGUCAUCAGGACCCCUGCAAAAAUUGAGGAAACACAAAUCUAUAAGUAGGAGAAUCUUCUGA
RNAcentral lists this long non-coding RNA (429 nucleotides) under Rhinopithecus bieti (black snub-nosed monkey). RNAcentral's name for it is "lncRNA (ENSRBIG00000045219.1)". The record is from RNAcentral. Lineage: Eukaryota; Metazoa; Chordata; Mammalia; Primates; Cercopithecidae.